CGGGGCGGCCAGGCGAUCGCGUGGUCAACCGUGCCAUGAGGAAAGUCCGAGCAUCAAAGGGCAGGAUGCCGGCUAACGGCCGGUGGAGGCAACUCCAAGGAAAGUGCAACAGAGAUAUACCGCCGUCGGGUUCGUCCCGGCGGUAAGGCUGGAAAGGCGAGGUAAGAGCUCACCCAAGCUUAUGGUAACAUAGGCUUGCUGUAAACCCCAUCCGAUGCAAGAUCCGACCAGAAGCUAUACGGCGGCCCGUCGUGCUUCUAAAGAGAUCGCUAGAGCCGUGCGGCAACGCACGGAGUAGAUAGAUGAUCGUCCAACGACAGAACUCGGCUUACGACCGCACCCGCAUC
Molecule: RNase P RNA, 347 nt
Filed under: Clostridia bacterium
Lineage: Bacteria; Bacillati; Bacillota; Clostridia
Description: RNase P RNA component class A
Rfam family: Bacterial RNase P class A
About the family: Ribonuclease P (RNase P) is a ubiquitous endoribonuclease, found in archaea, bacteria and eukarya as well as chloroplasts and mitochondria. Its best characterised activity is the generation of mature 5'-ends of tRNAs by cleaving the 5'-leader elements of precursor-tRNAs. Cellular RNase Ps are ribonucleoproteins.
Source: RNAcentral